This 259-nucleotide small RNA is filed under the name Arabidopsis thaliana (thale cress). Its description in RNAcentral is "ATSL165890". Lineage: Eukaryota; Viridiplantae; Streptophyta; Magnoliopsida; Brassicales; Brassicaceae. The record is from RNAcentral.
AAUAUGCAUGUCUUGACCGAGAAAAGGAUCGAUCUAAGUCUAAGGGACAAAGACGAUGAAACCGGUACAAGAGUUGGUUAGAAUUAAACCAAGGUUAGAAAGACUUCCGCUGUGUAAUAAGAGAGCGAUUAUAGAAUUUAGCCUCAUAAAGGCAAUUCUAUGUUGAAUCGCGAAAAGUUAAGAGGUUCGGCCACCCCUACAGACCCAAAUUGUGUUAGUAGGAGUUCCGGUGGUUAUCCAGUAUACGAUCCUUUCGGUG